UACGGAGGUGGCAAGCGUUGUUCGGAUUUAUUGGGUUUAAAGGGCGCGUAGGCGGCCCUGUAAGUCAGUGGUGAAAUCUCUGAGCUUAACUGCGAGGGUGCCAUUGAUACUGGGGGGCUUGAGUAUAGGUGAGGUAGGUGGAAUUGACGGUGUAGCGGUGAAAUGCGUAGAUAUCGUGAAGAACACCGAUGGCGAAGGCGGCUUACUAAGCUAGAACUGACGCUGAGGCACGAAAGUGUGAGGAUCAAACAGG
RNAcentral lists this ribosomal RNA (253 nucleotides) under uncultured bacterium. RNAcentral's name for it is "partial 16S ribosomal RNA". It matches the Rfam family "Bacterial small subunit ribosomal RNA", at positions 524 to 776 of the family's 1533-position model. The record is from RNAcentral.